This 757-nucleotide long non-coding RNA is filed under the name Helianthus annuus (common sunflower). RNAcentral's name for it is "hypothetical non coding rna". The record is from RNAcentral. Lineage: Eukaryota; Viridiplantae; Streptophyta; Magnoliopsida; Asterales; Asteraceae.
GAAGAUGAAUGUUUUUAAUUUCUUGAUUUAUCAAUUUUUUGUGUAAAAUUUGUUCAAGAAAAAAUGCAUGUUACAUUUUUCCGUGUCACAUAAACAAUGUACGUUUACAUAAAAUAAAGUGCAUUGUUACACAUUUUUAGAUUAUUGUAAUAUAUAAAGUGUGUUGUUACAUGCAACUUUUUUCUGGAUAUGUUUUUUUUUUUCUGUUCAAGAAGAUGAAUAAAAAAUGCAUGUUACAUUUUUCCGUGUCACAUAAACAAUGUACGUUUACAUAAAAUAAAGUGCAUUGUUACACUUUUUUAGAUUAUUGUAAAAAUAAAGUGUGUUGUUACAUGCAACUUUUUUCUGGAUAUGUUUUUUUUUUUCUGUUCAAGAAGAUGAAUGUUUUUAAUUUCUUGAUUUAUCAAUUUUUUGUGUAAAAUUUGUUCAAGAAAAAAUGCAUGUUACAUUUUUCCGUGUCACAUAAACAAUGUACGUUUACAUAAAAUAAAGUGCAUUGUUACACUUUUUUAGAUUAUUGUAAAAAUAAAGUGUGUUGUUACAUGCAACUUUUUUCUGUAUAUGUUUUUUUUUUCUGUUCAAGAAGAUGAAUGUUUUUAAUUUCUUGAUUUAUCAAUUAUUUGUGUAAAAUUUGUUCAAGAAAAAAUGCAUGUUACAUUUUUCCGUGUCACAUAAAUAAUGUACGUUUACAUAAAAUAAAGUGCAUUGUUACACUUUUUUAGAUUAUUGUAAAAAUAAAGUGUGUUGUUACAUUUUU